This 468-nucleotide ribosomal RNA is filed under the name uncultured bacterium. RNAcentral describes it as "partial 16S ribosomal RNA". It matches the Rfam family "Bacterial small subunit ribosomal RNA", at positions 28 to 507 of the family's 1533-position model. The record is from RNAcentral.
GACGAACGCUGGCGGCGUGCUUAACACAUGCAAGUCGAACGGAAAGGCCCUGCUUUUGUGGGGUGCUCGAGUGGCGAACGGGUGAGUAACACGUGAGUAACCUGCCCUUGACUUUGGGAUAACUUCAGGAAACUGGGGCUAAUACCGGAUAGGAGCUCCUGCUGCAUGGUGGGGGUUGGAAAGUUUCGUCGGUUGGGGAUGGACUCGCGGCUUAUCAGCUUGUUGGUGGGGUAGUGGCUUACCAAGGCUUUGACGGGUAGCCGGCCUGAGAGGGUGACCGGCCACAUUGGGACUGAGAUACGGCCCAGACUCCUACGGGAGGCAACAGUGGGGAAUAUUGCACAAUGGGCGGAAGCCUGAUGCAGCAACGCCGCGUGCGGGAUGACGGCCUUCGGGUUGUAAACCGCUUUCGCCUGUGACGAAGCGUGAGUGACGGUAAUGGGUAAAGAAGCACCGGCUAACUACGUG